This 259-nucleotide ribosomal RNA is filed under the name uncultured Bacteroidota bacterium. RNAcentral describes it as "uncultured Bacteroidetes bacterium partial 16S ribosomal RNA". It matches the Rfam family "Bacterial small subunit ribosomal RNA", at positions 1152 to 1410 of the family's 1533-position model. The record is from RNAcentral. Lineage: Bacteria; Pseudomonadati; Bacteroidota.
CCUACGCAAGUAGAGAGGAAGGAGGGGACGACGUCAAGUCAUCAUGGCCCUUACGCCUAGGGCUACACACGUGCUACAAUGGGCGGUACAGAGGGUAGCUACCUGGUAACAGGAUGCCAAUCUCGAAAACCGUUCACAGUUCGGAUUGGGGUCUGCAACUCGACCCUAUGAAGCUGGAAUCGCUAGUAAUCGCGUAUCAGCAAUGACGCGGUGAAUACGUUCCCGGACCUUGUACACACCGCCCGUCAAGCCAUGAAAG